RNAcentral lists this long non-coding RNA (631 nucleotides) under Zonotrichia albicollis (white-throated sparrow). Its description in RNAcentral is "lncRNA (ENSZALG00000017927.1)". Lineage: Eukaryota; Metazoa; Chordata; Aves; Passeriformes; Passerellidae. The record is from RNAcentral.
CGAGCAAGGAAAACGGGAAGCCGGCCCUCCCGGCGCUGAGGGUGCGCAGCCGCGGCGUGGGGCGGAAGGAGCGGCGGCUCCUCCCCGCAGAGCCGGAGCUGGGCGGGCGCGGCCCAUGGCGGCGCGGCGGGCGGGCCCCGGCGUGCAUCCUGGAAAGGACACCGGGGGAGCUGGGUAGUUUGUUUUUCCCCGAGUUUCCAGGUGCGUCCCACUGUCUCGUAGCCUGGCUCAGGUGUGCAAACACACGGUUUGACCGAGGCAGCUGCUGCCUGGUUUGUCGAAGUCUCUUGGUUUCGGGACACUUUAGAGCACUCAGCGGCUCUUCUGCCCUGAACAAAAUGUCCAUAGGGACCUGUCCCAUGGACAAACUCACCCUUUCUGAGAAAUUUGGGUGCCCGCCUCGUGCCCUCCCUCCAGUGCCAAGUGGAAGCCAAGGUGAGUUAUUAAGGAGAACUACAAACAUUGGUAGUUCCUUUUGGUGCCACUCAUUCUCUCUUUAAAGAUAGAGCCUUAUACUUUUCCUGAAUGCAGGCUGAUUAUUUAAACUGGAUACCUGUGCAUUGUUAGAACUGUUGGGUUUUUUUUGCUCUCUUUACUGUUAGCUAUUUCCAUCAAGGUAACUGAAGUGUUG